Molecule: ribosomal RNA, 460 nt
Filed under: uncultured bacterium
Lineage: Bacteria
Description: partial 16S ribosomal RNA
Rfam family: Bacterial small subunit ribosomal RNA
Source: RNAcentral
CCUACGGGAGGCAGCAGUGAGGAAUAUUGGUCAAUGGGCGGGAGCCUGAACCAGCCAAGUCGCGUGAGGGAAGACGGUCCUAUGGAUUGUAAACCUCUUUAGCCGGGGAGCAAUGCCGGGCACGCGUGCCCUGAGGGAGAGUACCCGCAGAAUAAGCAUCGGCUAACUCCGUGCCAGCAGCCGCGGUAAUACGGAGGAUGCGAGCGUUAUCCGGAUUUAUUGGGUUUAAAGGGUGCGUAGGCGGAUCGUUAAGUCAGUGGUCAAAUUGAGGGGCUCAACCCCUUCCCGCCAUUGAAACUGGCGUUCUUGAGUGGAAGAGAAGUAUGCGGAAUGCGUGGUGUAGCGGUGAAAUGCAUAGAUAUCACGCAGAACCCCGAUUGCGAAGGCAGCAUGCCGGCUUCCGACUGACGCUGAAGCACGAAAGCGUGGGGAUCGAACAGGAUUAGAUACCCGAGUAGUC